GUAAGCUAGCUGCUGCAUCCAAAACAGACCCUCAAAUACUAACCAAGAGAAUCACAGGUGGUGCCCAAGACUCAAGUGAGAAGAGUUUUCUGUGUUCCAGAUGUGAUAUAUAGAAGAAGAAACAUUCCCUUGAGGAGCUGACAGUAGGGAUUGCAGAGGACUCAGAUACCAUAUGAGUAGAUAUGGUAUCUCAGAUACCAUGUAAGAGUUCCAGGUUGGUUCAACUCUUACUUCAUAAGAGGGCAAAUAUUUUAUGAUAAACCAGAAGUAAAUGUCAGG
RNAcentral lists this long non-coding RNA (279 nucleotides) under Cyanistes caeruleus (blue tit). RNAcentral describes it as "lncRNA (ENSCCEG00000020150.1)". Lineage: Eukaryota; Metazoa; Chordata; Aves; Passeriformes; Paridae. The record is from RNAcentral.